CUUCUUGUACCCCACAUGCUUGAAGCCCACCUCAAUAAAUCCAUCUUAAUCUUGCCUUCAUGGAACACAUUGAGCUACUCUUCCUUGUUUGCAUGGUCUAGUAAAAUCAAAAUCUCUUUAAUGUCACCGUUGGCCUUCAUAAAUCAUCUACAUUUCUUGGCAGGAAAAGUUACCUUGCUGAAAACAUUUGUAUUCCUGCAAGGUACGUACCAUAACUAAUAUAAGAUCAAACAGUUGAGAUCAAAUCAAGGUAUGACUUCUUGAAUUUAUACCAUAAAAUGAGAUAAAUAUGCCCAUGCACCAUUACUUCAAACAUCAAUCCAAGCAGACUUGGGUUCUGGUUAAGAUGACAUUGUUUGUUUUUGUUUG
Molecule: long non-coding RNA, 369 nt
Filed under: Brassica rapa (field mustard)
Lineage: Eukaryota; Viridiplantae; Streptophyta; Magnoliopsida; Brassicales; Brassicaceae
Description: long non-coding RNA (BRAP_LNC001731)
Source: RNAcentral